UACGUAGGGUGCGAGCGUUAAUCGGAAUUACUGGGCGUAAAGUGUGCGCAGGUGGCUUCGCAAGUCGAGUGUGAAAUCCCCGGGCUUAACCUGGGAAUUGCGCUCGAAACUACGGAGCUGGAGUGUGGCAGAGGGAGGUGGAAUUCCACGUGUAGCGGUGAAAUGCGUAGAGAUGUGGAGGAACACCGAUGGCGAAGGCAGCCUCCUGGGCCAGCACUGACGCUCAUGCACGAAAGCGUGGGGAGCAAACAGG
This 253-nucleotide ribosomal RNA is filed under the name uncultured bacterium. RNAcentral's name for it is "partial 16S ribosomal RNA". It matches the Rfam family "Bacterial small subunit ribosomal RNA", at positions 524 to 776 of the family's 1533-position model. The record is from RNAcentral.